RNAcentral lists this ribosomal RNA (467 nucleotides) under uncultured bacterium. RNAcentral describes it as "partial 16S ribosomal RNA". It matches the Rfam family "Bacterial small subunit ribosomal RNA", at positions 28 to 507 of the family's 1533-position model. The record is from RNAcentral.
GACGAACGCUGGCGGCGUGCUUAACACAUGCAAGUCGAACGGAAAGGCUCCAGCUUGCUGGAUUGCUCGAGUGGCGAACGGGUGAGUAACAAGUGGGCAAUCUUCCCUGCACUCUGGGAUAAGCCUGGGAAACUGUGUCUAAUACCGGAUAGGACCUUUCUCCUCAUGGGGUUUGGUGGAAAGUUUUUCGGUGCAGGAUGAGCCCGCGGCCUAUCUGCUUGUUGGUGGGGUAAUGUCCUACCAAGGCGACGACGGGUAGCCGGCCUGAGAGGGUGAUCGGCAAAAUUGGGACUGAGAUACGGCCAGAACUCCUACGGGAGGAAGAAGUGGGGAAAAUUGAACAAUGGGCGAAAGCCUGAUGCAGCGACGCCGCGUGAGGGAUGACGGCCUUCGGGUUGUAAACCUCUUUCAGUAGGGACGAAGCGCAAGUGACGGUACCUGCAGAAGAAGCACCGGCUAACUACGUG